AACGAACGCUGACGGCGUGCUUAACACAUGCAAGUCGAAGGUAGUGGCGAACGGGUGAGUAACACGUGAGUAACCUGCCCUUUUCUUUGGGAUAAGCCUGGGAAACUGGGUCUAAUACUGGAUGGAUUGGGCUGGGCUCGGGGGAUAUUGGCUUGUUGGUGGGGUGAUGGCUUACCAAGGCUUUGACGGGUAGCCGGCCUGAGAGGGUGUUCGGCAACACUGGGACUGAGAUACGGCCCAGACUCCUACGGGAGGCAGCAGUGGGGGAUAUUGCACAAUGGACGAAAGUCUGAUGCAGCGACGUCGUGUGGGGGAUGAAGGCCUUCGGGUUGUAAAGUACUUUCAGCGGGGAGGCGUUACCCGCAGAAGAAGCACCGGCUAACUCCGUGCCAGCCGCCGCGGUAAUUC
RNAcentral lists this ribosomal RNA (408 nucleotides) under uncultured bacterium. Its description in RNAcentral is "partial 16S ribosomal RNA". It matches the Rfam family "Bacterial small subunit ribosomal RNA", at positions 28 to 526 of the family's 1533-position model. The record is from RNAcentral.